This 1044-nucleotide long non-coding RNA is filed under the name Pogona vitticeps (central bearded dragon). RNAcentral's name for it is "lncRNA (ENSPVIG00000025200.1)". The record is from RNAcentral. Lineage: Eukaryota; Metazoa; Chordata; Lepidosauria; Squamata; Agamidae.
CAUGGAUAUAUUUCAGCGCUGUCUACCUCAUAUCCACUAGAGCACUGGUUCUUAACCUUGGGUUACUCGGGAGUUUUGGACUGCAACUCCCAGAAGCCUUCACCACCAGCUGUCCUGACUGGGGUUUCUGGGAGUUGCAGUUCAAAAGCAUCCGAGUAACAAAGGUUAAAAACCACUGCACUAGAGUAUGUUCUCAGAUUCUGACAGUUGCAUUAGAAAUAAAUCAAACUUGCUUCUAAUUUCUUUCUUUCUUUCUUUCUUUCUUUCUUUCUUUCUUUCUUUCUUUCUUUCUUUCUUUCUUUCUUUCUUUCUUUCUUUCUUUCUUUCUUUCUAGAAUGUCUAUCCUUUUCACAGCUCAAGCUCCCCUUAUUCCCUUGCUGCUAUGUGAACAUGCUGGGAAAACAUCACCUGCUAAAUGUGACCUCAUCCUGCGGCACGGUAGGGAUAAUGGAAAAGACUCUCGGGUCGUGAGCGAUGUGAGGAGUAUUGAGAAACUACCCAGGGAUUAUUCGUAACAGGACAACUACUGCUGGCAUCAUACACAUAACAUGUUCACAGGCAAUGUUAUCUCUCACAUGUUGCCUUGGGGACCUAAUAGAUAGAUAGCAAUGUCUUUUUCUCCAUGUUUUAACGUUAACGGUAACUUUUUUAAGAACGUGUAAUGAAUAAGAUUUACAUGACUUUCAAAACAUUGUUUUAAGGACCAUGGAGGGGGCAUGUGUUGGCUAUUUUGGACCAUCUUUUCUAUCAUUAAGAUUUUGCUUAAAAUAAUAAUACAUGGAUAAAUACAUUUAUGAAAUAAUAAUUUAGAUUUACUUAUAAAAUAAUGAGUAACAGUAACAGUAAUGUAUUAUUGCGGUGUGUUUUUUAAAGUCUACUACUAAUCCUGUCCUAUUUGGGGUUUUUUAAAAUGACUGUUUCAAAAUACCACUUUUGGCUCCCUAAAUUAAAGCUCAGUGGAGAGAAAAUGCGUGUUGGAUCCCCUAUGGGGAGAAAGGGGACAUAUAAAUAACUUAAAUAAAUAAACAUUGUCUCUUUGUGGCA